Molecule: long non-coding RNA, 1138 nt
Organism: Hemiscyllium ocellatum (epaulette shark)
Lineage: Eukaryota; Metazoa; Chordata; Chondrichthyes; Orectolobiformes; Hemiscylliidae
Exons: 2
Source: RefSeq, a predicted model, not a curated record
UACUGACACACUCUCUCUCUCCCCCCCCACAGGAAGCCCAAGGUGAUCUACAGUCAGUCCCGAGCUGAUGAAGUGGAUGAUAGUGACUUCAAACAGAAAUCUUCAUUCGUGGUCUAACCUUCUCUGACAGAGCAGGAGCCCAGCAUGAACAUCUAACCCUUCCCUCCACCCUCCGCCCUCUCUCCCUCUUCCCCCCCUCCACCCUCCACCCUCUCUCCCUCUCCCCCUCCUCCCUUCAGUUCCUCCGUCCCCAGGGGGAGAAUCCCCUCCCAAACCUCACCUUUUCCCUGGCAUCUGAACUCAACAGGAAGUCGGUGGGAUUGAGGUCUUAUCGUGAAAAUAAAAUCGUCUGUCUUUUUUAGGCACAGUCUUUUCAGACUUUAUGAAUUUUUUUUGAAUCUGUACAAAAUGUGGCUUUGUGAAUAUUAAGCGUCAGUUUUGGGGGGGGUUGGGGGGGUGGGGGGAGGAGUUUGUCUCUGUAUCAAGCCCCUGGCCGGGGCGUUUGAUAACUGUGGCAGGAGAUUUCCUAGUAUUUUAAAAGAGUAAAGGGGGCUUUGCUCUGUAUCUAACCCCAUGCUGUCCCUGUCCUGGGAAUGUUUGAUGGGGGACAGUGUAGAGGGAGCUUUACUCUGUAUCUAACCCCAUGCUGUCCCUGUCCUGGGAGUGUUUGAUGGGGGACAGUGUAGAGGGAGCUUUACUCUGUACCUAACCCCGUGCUGUCCCUGUCCUGGGAGUGUUUGAUGGGGGGACAGUGUAGAGGGAGCUUUACUCUGUGUCUAACCCCGUGCUGGGAGUGUUUGAUGGGGGGACAGUGUAGAGGGAGCUUUACUCUGUACCUAACCCCAUGCUGUCCCUGUCCUGUCCCUGUCCUGGGAGUGUUUGAUGGGGGGACAGUGUAGAGAGAGCUUUACUCUGUAUCUAACCCCGUGCUGGGAGGGUUUGAUGGGGGGACAGUGUGUAAUAUUUCUUUCUGGUCUGUAACAUCGAUUCCCUUUACUCUUUUAAAUAUUUAUUGUGGUGGAUAGCCGAGACUGUGCAGAGUGUGUCUCCUGUGCUUUUUGAGGAGAGCUUCUGAAUUUUGUAAUGUAUUUUUUAAACCUGUCUUUCAACUCUGUGAAUAAAGGUAAUUUCUCUUCCA